Molecule: ribosomal RNA, 490 nt
Filed under: uncultured bacterium
Lineage: Bacteria
Description: partial 16S ribosomal RNA
Rfam family: Bacterial small subunit ribosomal RNA
Source: RNAcentral
GAUGAACGCUGGCUACAGGCUUAACACAUGCAAGUCGAGGGGAAACGCCGGGGAAGCUUGCUUCCCCGGGCGUCGACCGGCGCACGGGUGAGUAACGCGUAUCCAACCUGCCUCUGACAGAGGGAUAACCCGUCGAAAGUCGGCCUAAUACCUCAUGGCAUCGUCUGCGGGCAUCCAACGACGAUUAAAGAUUUCAUCGGUCAGGGAUGGGGAUGCGUCUGAUUAGCUAGUUGGCGGGGUAACGGCCCACCAAGGCGACGAUCAGUAGGGGUUCUGAGAGGAAGGUCCCCCACAUUGGAACUGAGACACGGUCCAAACUCCUACGGGAGGCAGCAGUGAGGAAUAUUGGUCAAUGGGCGAGAGCCUGAACCAGCCAAGUAGCGUGCAGGAUGACGGCCCUAUGGGUUGUAAACUGCUUUUAUGCGGGGAUAAAGUGAGGGACGUGUCCUUCAUUGCAGGUACCGCAUGAAUAAAGACCGGCUAAUUCCGU